AGGUCAUGACAACGACUUCACAACAACAGCGGUUAUCCUCAAAUUCUCAAUGAAAGUACUGAAUGUUGGUGGUAAAUAUCUAUCAAGAGGGGAUUGUGAGAGUAACGUGCUAUCCAUUGAAUCGUUCGGCAGAGAUGUUACUGAAAACGGAUUACACUUCAAGACGUUCAAAAUAGAUGUACCUUCUUUUAAAGAAAAAUAUUGUUUAUUUGAAGUGUGGCGUCCAGAGCAGAAUGGAUUCUGAUAGGAAUUAGCUUUAUGAGAUUUUGCACUAAAAAAAUAAAUACAUUUAACCACUAGAAAACACUUUUGCACUAUAAAUGGGGGUUGUACUGAAAGGCCCAUUAUGUCCAAGAAAAUACUAUUUUCAUUUCUCAAAAGCUUUUUAUUUUAUAAUUUUGAAGUUUCCCAAAAGUUACUUAUUAGGCGAUUACGUGAA
Ruditapes philippinarum (Manila clam) is the source of this 439-nucleotide long non-coding RNA. RefSeq lists it as uncharacterized. The record is from RefSeq and is a predicted model, not a curated record. The transcript is spliced from 3 exons. Lineage: Eukaryota; Metazoa; Mollusca; Bivalvia; Venerida; Veneridae.